This is a long non-coding RNA of Oncorhynchus tshawytscha (Chinook salmon), 1192 nucleotides long. RefSeq lists it as uncharacterized. The record is from RefSeq and is a predicted model, not a curated record. Lineage: Eukaryota; Metazoa; Chordata; Actinopteri; Salmoniformes; Salmonidae. The transcript is spliced from 3 exons.
UGGAACAAUGGAUCCUAACAAUGCAAGUUGCAAGACAACAUAGAGGAAGAGGACGACAACAACAAAGACAAGUAAAUCUCAGAUGAAAUCGGUGUCACCCUAGUUCAUCAUAUGCUCAUACAUGGGAGGACUAUGAGAGAAGCUGGACAGCUAGCACAACCAAACCUAAGCCAUUACAUGGUUGCAUCCAUUGUCCGUACUUUCUGAAUGGAAAACAGAACUGAGAGGCGGCCAUCUUGGAGGUAGGCGGAGACUUCUCACAGCUGAGCAGGAGACUGCCCUGGUGAAUAUGGUGAUUGCCAGUAAUACCAUCCGUUUGAGGGACAUUCAAACCCAAAUCGUUGAAGACCAGGUAGUCUUCCAAGGAGUUGACAGCAUCAGCAUUUCCACCAUUGACCGGAUCGUUCAGAAGAACCACAUAAGAACAAAGCAGCUGUACCAUGUGCAUUUUGAAAGGAAUUCAAACAGAGUUAAGGAGCAACGAUUCCAUUUGUGCAGAGAAUCUUUUAGCUGGAUGCCAUGGCUGACCCACAGGAGUACAUCUUCAUCGACGAGGCAGGUUCAACCUAACAAAAAAGUGCAAAAGGGGACGCAACCUCAUUGGUCACCGUGCCAUAAUACAAGUUCCUGGCCGGAGGGGAGGCAACGUCACCCUAUGUGCAGCCAUCAGCAAUCGUGGCUUCCUCCACCGCCAUGUCAAAUUGGGUCCAUACAACAUGACACCACUCCUUCAAUCAGCUGCACAAUAACAUUCUUCAACAGGAAGGGGAGCCAGGACAACCAGAGGAAGCCCAAUAUGUUAUUUGUUAUAACAUGAGUUUCCAUCGGGCUGCUCUGGUUCAAUGACCACACCAGGUUCACCGUUCUUUUUUUGCCAGCAUAUUUCUGAAUCUGAUUGAGUAAUUUUUCUCAGCAUGGGGUUGGAGAGUGUGUGACAGCAACCCCUCUGCACAGCAAAACCUCCUGGAGGCAAUGGUGGAUGCCUGUGGUGAUGUGUCUGUGGAGUCUAUCCAGGGUUUUCUAAGGCACACAAGGGCAUUUUUCCCACGCUGCCUGGCAAAAGCAAACAUAAUGUGUGAUGUUGAUGAGCUAUUAUUGCCUGACCCAGACCUGAGAUGAUGAGAACGCUGAUGCUGAUGCUGAGUAACCUGUACAUUUGUUGAAUUUGGAAAUAAAGCUUUUGAAAAUUGGG